This 351-nucleotide unclassified non-coding RNA is filed under the name soil metagenome. RNAcentral's name for it is "partial contains 5.8S ribosomal RNA, internal transcribed spacer 2, and large subunit ribosomal RNA". The stretch from base 1 to 120 matches the Rfam family "5.8S ribosomal RNA", at positions 35 to 154 of the family's 154-position model. The record is from RNAcentral.
GAUGAAGAACGUAGCGAAAUGCGAUACGUAGUGUGAAUUGCAGAAUUCAGUGAAUCAUCGAAUCUUUGAACGCACAUUGCGACCUUUGGUAUUCCAAAGGGCAUGCCUGUUCGAGCGUCAUUUGUACCUUCAAGCUUUGCUUGGUGUUGGGCGUUUUUUGUCUCCCUCUUUCUGGGAGACUCGCCUUAAAACGAUUGGCAGCCGGCCUACUGGUUUCGGAGCGCAGCACAUAUUUUGCGCUUUGUCUCAGGAGAAAAGGACGGUAAUCCAUCAAGACUCUACAUUUUUAACUUUUGACCUCGGAUCAGGUAGGGAUACCCGCUGAACUUAAGCAUAUCAAUAAGCGGAGGA